This is a long non-coding RNA of Panthera uncia (snow leopard), 947 nucleotides long. RefSeq lists it as uncharacterized. The transcript has 4 exons. The record is from RefSeq and is a predicted model, not a curated record. NCBI's taxonomy places the organism in Eukaryota, Metazoa, Chordata, Mammalia, Carnivora, Felidae.
CACAAAACUUUUUUCUACCUCGCUACCUCCUCUGUGAUUCGUCGCUGAGCAAAUACUCUAUGAGGAAAAGGAGCCUUAGGUCUGACAAGAGGAAAAGAAGUCGGAAAUUAAAGGAAGGCUCGCAGGGAGAUCAUCUCAGGGUGCACUCUCUAUGAGAAAAACAGUGAAAGGCUUUUCGAGAAUUAAGUAGGUUAGGAAGAAAGCCUCAAGACAGACUAGUAACUUGCUGCUUCAAGCCAUUGCUUUUAGAAGUGCAAACAGUUCGAUUUCAGAUGGAUUUCAGUUUUCUCACCUAACUUCCUGAAAAGCCAAUAGACCCAGUUGCUGAAGAAUUGGAAGGACUAAAAAUCUGUUUUUCAAAAAAAGUUACCAUUGUGGAAAAUGUCUACAGAGGCAGCUGUUCUAUCCACAGAGAGGAACGUCAAAAGUUGCACAGAAUUUCCACUACUUCUGAAAGCAACCUGUUCCACCCAGAAAAGAAGUUACUUAUGAAUGAAAGUCUUACCCUUGUUAGGAAAGAGGAGGAUCAUUUGAAUCAAUAAAGGAAGGCAUUAUCAGAAAGGCAUUCAGGAAGCAGAAUCCCAUGCCUCAGGGUGAGAGAUGGCUGGGAAGAAAAACACCGAGUUCUGCUCUGCGCACUAAGCACUUGACAGACUGCUUGAUUUUCCCGUUGGAUACUGAGGACAGUCCAGCCACAGCAAUAUUCGUGUCCCGCUUUAUAGUCAAGGAAACUGAUACCCACAAAGUGAAAGGAUUCACCCACAGUCAGUAGAGCCAGCACAUGGAGGAAAAGAGCCAUCAACCUCAGCUCAUUUGACUCCCAUUCACCUCAAGACCAUGGAUAAAUGGUUGCUGAAUAAUUGCUCAAGUCUGAUUUCAAGCACUUUCUAAUGUGUAAUCUUGAUAACUGUGGUUGCACAAUAAAUGGAACACAGUUUCCCAAAGUU